Molecule: ribosomal RNA, 450 nt
Filed under: uncultured bacterium
Lineage: Bacteria
Description: partial 16S ribosomal RNA
Rfam family: Bacterial small subunit ribosomal RNA
Source: RNAcentral
GUGGGGAAUCUUCCGCAAUGGACGAAAGCCUGACGCAGCGACGCCGCGUGAGGGAUGAAGGUUUUCGGAUCGUAAACCUCUGUCAGAAGGGAAGAAACUACGUUGUGCUAAUCAGCAGCGUACUGACGGUACCUUCAAAGGAAGCACCGGCUAACUCCGUGCCAGCAGCCGCGGUAAUACGGAGGGUGCAAGCGUUAAUCGGAAUUACUGGGCGUAAAGCGCACGUAGGCUGUAGUGUAAGUCAGGGGUGAAAUCCCACGGCUCAACCGUGGAACUGCCUUUGAUACUGCACAACUUGAAUCCGGGAGAGGGUGGCGGAAUUCCAGGUGUAGGAGUGAAAUCCGUAGAUAUCUGGAGGAACAUCAGUGGCGAAGGCGGCCACCUGGACCGGUAUUGACGCUGAGGUGCGAAAGCCGGGGGAGCGAACGGGAUUAGAUACCCGGGUAGUCC